This 254-nucleotide ribosomal RNA is filed under the name uncultured bacterium. Its description in RNAcentral is "partial 16S ribosomal RNA". It matches the Rfam family "Bacterial small subunit ribosomal RNA", at positions 524 to 776 of the family's 1533-position model. The record is from RNAcentral.
GACAGAGGAUGCAAGCAUUAUCCGGAAUGAUUGGGCGUAAAGCGUCUGUAGGUGGCUUUUCAAGUCUGCCGUCAAAUCCCAGGGCUCAACCCUGGACAGGCAGUGGAAACUAACAAGCUGGAGUACGGUAGGGGCAGAGGGAAUUUCCGGUGGAGCGGUGAAAUGCAUUGAGAUCGGAAAGAACACCAACGACAAAAAGCACUCUGCUGGGCCGACACUGACACUAAGAGACGAAAGCUAGGGGAGCAAAUGGG